RNAcentral lists this transfer RNA (84 nucleotides) under Candidatus Saganbacteria bacterium. Its description in RNAcentral is "tRNA-Leu". It matches the Rfam family "tRNA". From Rfam's summary of the family: Transfer RNA (tRNA) molecules are approximately 80 nucleotides in length. Their secondary structure includes four short double-helical elements and three loops (D, anti-codon, and T loops). Lineage: Bacteria; Bacillati. The record is from RNAcentral.
GCCCAGGUGGCGGAAUUGGCAGACGCGCAUGAUUCAGGUUCAUGUGGGGUCACACCCAUGGAGGUUCAAGUCCUCUCCUGGGCA